AUUACCCAAUAGGACACCGUGAGGUAGUGACAAGAAAUAACAAUACAGGGCUUUAAGCUUUGUAAUUGGAAUGAUGGGAAUCCAAACCCCUUCCAGAGUAUCAAUUGGAGGGCAAGUCUGGUGCCAGCAGCCGCGGUAAUUCCAGCUCCAAUAGCGUAUAUUAAAUUUGUUGCAGUUAAAAAGCUCGUAGUUGAACUUCUGCCGCCGGGACUUCGUUCCCUUCGGGGCUUCGUUUUCUCGGUGGCAUCCCUCUGGUUAAUUUGGGCCUCGGCCCUCUUUUUCCAGUUUUUACUUUGAGAAAAUUAGAGUGUUUCAAGCAGGCUUUUGCCUUGAAUACUUCAGCAUGGAAUAAUAAAGUAGGACUUUGGUUCUAUUUUGUAGGUUUCAGGACCAAAGUAAUGGUUAAUAGGAGCAGUUGGGGGCAUUCGUAUUUAA
RNAcentral lists this ribosomal RNA (435 nucleotides) under Babesia conradae. RNAcentral describes it as "SSU rRNA". It matches the Rfam family "Eukaryotic small subunit ribosomal RNA", at positions 440 to 901 of the family's 1831-position model. The record is from RNAcentral. Lineage: Eukaryota; Apicomplexa; Aconoidasida; Piroplasmida; Babesiidae.